CCUACGGGAGGCAGCAGUGGGGAAUAUUGGGCAAUGGAGGAAACUCUGACCCAGCGACGCCGCGUGCGGGAUGAAGGCCUUCGGGUUGUAAACCGCUUUCAGUAGGGAAGAAGCGAAAGUGACGGUACCUACAAAAGAGGCACCGGCUAACUAUGUGCCAGCAGCCGCGGUAAUACAUAGGGUGCAAGCGUUGUCCGGAAUUAUUGGGCGUAAAGAGCUCGUAGGUCGUUUGUUACGUCGGAUGUGAAAACCUGAGGCUCAACCUCAGGCCUGCAUUCGAUACGGGCAAACUAGAGUUUGGUAGGGGAGACUGGAAUUCCUGGUGUAGCGGUGGAAUGCGCAGAUAUCAGGAGGAACACCAAUGGCGAAGGCAGGUCUCUGGGCCAAUACUGACACUGAGGAGCGAAAGUCUGGGGAGCGAACAGGAUUAGAUACCCUGGUAGUCCAGACCGUAAACGGUGGGCACUAGUUGUGGGAACCUUCCACGGUUUCUGCGACGCAGCUAACGCAUUAAGUGCCCGCCUGGGGAGUACGAUCGCAAGAUUAAAACUCAAAGGAAUUGAACGGUCGUGAGAGUGCGACGGACGACGACGAGGGAGGAGG
Molecule: ribosomal RNA, 603 nt
Filed under: uncultured bacterium
Lineage: Bacteria
Description: bacterial SSU rRNA
Rfam family: Bacterial small subunit ribosomal RNA
Source: RNAcentral